AGGAGUCUACACUUAAGAUUGCUGAGCAGAAACUCUUGCAAGAUGACCUACCAAUGAGCAAGAAGAGAAAGAGGGUACUCAACAAACUCUUCCUUGACACACCAGAGGAAACUGUUGAACAAGUUGCAAAAAAGAAAAACUACAAAUUCAUUGCUGCAAGACAGUCUGAAUUUGAGGUUCUUUCCCAAGAAGAACAUAAAGUCACCCUAGUGGAGACUGCUUCAGAGGCACUUGAGGAUGAGAUCCGGGCCCUCAGGGAAGAGAAUAAAAGACUGCGGGACCAGCAGAGUGUAGAUCUUCCGCAGCCAUUAAAGAUCUUGAGAUUCAAGUCAAGGCCUUGAACAAGGAGAACACCAGACUGCGCAAAAUGGCACUUAAAGGCAACUAUUUCUCCAUUUAUACACUCUUUAUACACAUAUAAAACACCGUAAUUAUCCGUGAAAUCCAUGUCCGCCAUGUUCAGUUGAAACCAGCAAGCAGCAGAUGGAAGCUCCUCCUAUUUGAUGACGCAGCGAAGCAUUGCCGCUUGUUGCCAAAUGCCAACGUGGAGUUCACGCGGAAUGUCAAGCAGGCAAAAGCACACAAUUGAGGCGAAAUAUUCGCAGAAUCCGCAUUUGGUGUGAACUUAAAGACACCAAAAAAUUAGUGGAGGUGUAUUUUGUUCUCCAGGUCUUAAGCAUUUACAACUUGUUUGGAUUCCUGUUGUAGUCAAUUCUGUGGGCCAUAUUUUCCAGACAUUCCAUCACUAUUAGUGGCUGUGAAGACCCUCGUUUCGGAUAAGAUCACAGAGAAGGUGAAAGUGAAUAUGAGGUCAGUGUUGCUCAACCAUCACCUGCUCAACUCGCAUCUCCCAAACCAGCAUCAGUGCAACUAGGGAAUGAUGACUCCACCAGAGUGUCUGCCCAUUGUUGGGAGACUGCAAAAGCACAACCCACAGCGAAAGGAAUGGCCCGCACCCUCUUGCUGGGCCUGUUCAGCAUUGAUGUCCUGCUUGAAGUCCAACCUGACGGGAGGGGUCAACAAGGUCUGCAGAGCGACGUCAGCCUCUGGACCCCAAAAAGCUUAAAAGCUUUACUCGAGGCAGUUGUUCAGCAACACCCAGGGGCGAAGAUUCCGGAUAUACGAACGGCCAUAAACAAAAGGAUCUGUGAGUUAAGACACCAGGAGAAGAAAAAGACCAUGGACAGCUGAAGGACUGGCCAAGGCUGCACAGCGAGCCUUGAUAACUUAACAUGUUAGAACCAAAACAACGUGCAUUGUUGUUCUGUUCUUUCCAGUGAGUGAUUGCUCUGUUUUCUGUUGCACUAAAGACAUUUUUUUUAUUACAAUGACAGUUGUCAUUGUAAUGGGGAGGGGGAGGGGGUUUGCAGCAGACUUCCUAUAACGCCACUAUCUGAAUAAGAGCACCCCCUCCCCAACAAGCUGACCUCUUCCACCGGUGAUCAUCGGGAUAGGAGGGGAACAGCGCGCUAAUGUCUCUUUGCUGGCAAAAAGACAUAACUCUUCAACUGGAU
Long non-coding RNA from Girardinichthys multiradiatus, 1514 nucleotides. RefSeq lists it as uncharacterized. Lineage: Eukaryota; Metazoa; Chordata; Actinopteri; Cyprinodontiformes; Goodeidae. The transcript is spliced from 4 exons. The record is from RefSeq and is a predicted model, not a curated record.